This 480-nucleotide ribosomal RNA is filed under the name uncultured bacterium. Its description in RNAcentral is "partial 16S ribosomal RNA". It matches the Rfam family "Bacterial small subunit ribosomal RNA", at positions 28 to 507 of the family's 1533-position model. The record is from RNAcentral.
GACGAACGCUGGCGGCGUGCUUAACACAUGCAAGUCGAACGGAAAGGCCUGCUUUCCCUUGUGGAUUGCGGGUACUCGCGUGGCGGACGGGUGAGUAACACGUGAGUGAUCUGCCCCCAACUUGGGUAUAAGCCUGGGAAACUGGGUCUAAUUCCCGAUAGGACUGCAGGGUGGUGCCUGUGGUGGCAGACGAUUUUUUGGCGGUUGGGGAUGAGCUCGCGGCCUAUCAGCUUGUUGGUGGGGUAGUGGCCUACCGAGGCGGUGACGGGUAGGCGGCCGGGGCAGUGGGACGGCGACACUGGGCCUGAGAUUACGCCAAGAAGCAGUGGGGAGGAAGGCGUGAGGAACGUAGGCCUGUGGCCGCAAGGCUGCGGCAGGGAUGCCGGGUGUGGGAUGGCGGCCUCCUGGUGGCAGAGAGGAAGCGACCGGGACGGAGGGGUGGUGACGGUAGUGGGAGAAGAAGCACCGGCUAACUACGUG